AUUGAACGCUGGCGGCAGGCCUAACACAUGCAAGUCGAACGGUAACAGGAAACGGCUUGCUGUUUCGCUGACGAGUGGCGGACGGGUGAGUAAUGUCCGGGAAACUGCCUUAUGGAGGGGGAUAACUACUGGAAACGGUAGCUAAUACCGCAUAACGUCGCAAGACCAAAAAGGGGGACCCUCUGGCCCCUUGCCCUCUGAUGUGCCCAGAUGGGGUUUGCGUGUUGGGGGGGUAACGGCUCCCCAGGGCGACGCUCCCUGGCGGGUCUGGGAGGAUGACAGGCAAACUUGAAACGGGACAACGGUCCAGAUCCCUACGGGAGGCGGAGGGGGGGAUAUUGCACAAUGGGCGCAAGCCUGAUGCAGCCAUGCCGCGUGUAUGAAGAAGGCCUUCGGGUUGUAAAGUACUUUUAGCGGGGAAGAAGGGAGUAAGGUUAAUACCUUUGCUCAUUGACGUUACCCGCAGAAGAAGCACCGGCUAACUCCGUG
This 489-nucleotide ribosomal RNA is filed under the name uncultured bacterium. RNAcentral describes it as "partial 16S ribosomal RNA". It matches the Rfam family "Bacterial small subunit ribosomal RNA", at positions 30 to 507 of the family's 1533-position model. The record is from RNAcentral.